Leuconostoc lactis is the source of this 359-nucleotide non-coding RNA. The record is from Rfam. Lineage: Bacteria; Bacillati; Bacillota; Bacilli; Lactobacillales; Lactobacillaceae.
GGGGUCGUUUUUGGAAUUCGACAGGCUGUUUAGGGCAUGGACUGCGCUUCGCCAUCCGGGCGUUAAAACGGGCAGACAUUUUAACUGCAAAAAACGAAAACUCUUUCGCAAUCGCUGCCUAAAAACCAGUGAUGCGUAACUUAAUCUUGGUAGCUGGCGUCUGAGAUUAGGUCAUAAAAAGUCAGAUCGCGUCGUUGCUUAGAUUCGGAACAGCGGCGUUAAAUGAAUCGAGUUAGUGAUUGAUGUUAGCCUCGUGUUGUGGCGGAAUUAAUCAUGAAACUUAAGUGACAACACUAUAAGCGUAGAGGUUCAUGUACCGGGCAGUUUGGACAGGGGUUCGACUCCCCUCGGCUCCACUA